Molecule: long non-coding RNA, 381 nt
Filed under: Anser brachyrhynchus (Pink-footed goose)
Lineage: Eukaryota; Metazoa; Chordata; Aves; Anseriformes; Anatidae
Description: lncRNA (ENSABRG00000012792.1)
Source: RNAcentral
AAACACAUGGCCCCACCUUUGUGAGACUACCCUGGUUGUAUCCCCUAGCACCUUCCUCAGGAAAUGAAAGCGAAUUCCCUCAGACCGAAGUGGGAAUCAGUGCUUCAUCUCUUAUGAAUCUUUGACAUUUAGACUCCUGGAUUUCCUGGCAUCCAAAAUAUUUCUAUGGUCUUCAGAGAUUCCUGGGCUCUGGCCCACUGCAUGUUGGUAAAUCAACCAGAGAAUUGCUCGAAGAAGAUUCUCAUCAAUGAAGGGUAGACUAUCAGAAAGAACUGAAAAGAAAAAAAUCUGGGAUACUUUGGACCUCUUUUUUUUUUUUUUCCUGAUUAUCUGUAUAAAAGAUAAUAUAAUAAUGAUAAUCAAUAUUAAAAAGGACUGAUA